UACGUAGGGUGCAAGCGUUGUCCGGAAUUAUUGGGCGUAAAGAGCUCGUAGGCGGUCUGUCGCGUCGGCUGUGAAAUCCCGAGGCUCAACCUCGGGUCUGCAGUCGAUACGGGCAAACUGGAGUGUUGCAGGGGAGACUGGAAUUCCUGGUGUAGCGGUGAAAUGCGCAGAUAUCAGGAGGAACACCGGUGGCGAAGGCGGGUCUCUGGGCAGCAACUGACGCUGAGGAGCGAAAGCGUGGGGAGCGAACAGG
This 253-nucleotide ribosomal RNA is filed under the name uncultured bacterium. Its description in RNAcentral is "partial 16S ribosomal RNA". It matches the Rfam family "Bacterial small subunit ribosomal RNA", at positions 524 to 776 of the family's 1533-position model. The record is from RNAcentral.